GACGAACGCUGGCGGCGUGCCUAAUACAUGCAAGUAGGACGCAGUUGCGACCGGGUGAGUAACGCGUAGGUAACUACCUAUUAGAGGGGGCUAACUCUUGGAAACGAUAGCUACUACCGCAUACUAGUAGAUGGACCUGCGUUGUAUUAGCUAGUCGGUGGGGUAAUGGCCUACCUAGGCAACGAUACAUAUCCGACCUGGGAGGGGGAUCGGCCACACUGGGACUGAGACACGGCCCAGACUCCGACGGGAGGCAGCAGUAGGGAAACUUCGGCAAUGGGGGGAAACCUGACCGAGCAACGCCGCGUGAGUGAAGAAGGUUUUCGGAUCGUAAAGCUCUGUGGUUAAGGAAGCGGUACUUAACCAGAAAGGGACGGCUAACUACGUGCCAGCAGCCGCGGUAAUUC
Molecule: ribosomal RNA, 407 nt
Filed under: uncultured bacterium
Lineage: Bacteria
Description: partial 16S ribosomal RNA
Rfam family: Bacterial small subunit ribosomal RNA
Source: RNAcentral